GAUUCGAUGAAACUCAUAAAAGCAUAAAAGACUCUCUGCGGUAAACAACUCUAAUUUUCAAUAGAUAGAAUAAGUGGGUGGGCACAGUUUGUGUUUAACUUGUCUCAAGCUACAAUAUGUGGAAAACUUAACGUUACAUUGUGUGGAGAGGUCAGGAGGUUUAAGCUUGCUGGUAAAGGAUGUUGAUUUUCUUGAAAAUGAAGAUGAUCACAGUAUUGGGACUUACAAGUAGAUAAUAGCAGAGGAACUAAAUGAGAGAAAUAUAGCAGAUGAGCAGUGCUGCAGUGAACAACUCAUAGGAUGUUGAUUUUCUUGAAAAUGAAGAUGAUCACAGUAUUGGAACUCACAAGUAGCUAAUAGCAGAGAAACUAAAUAGGAGAAAUAUAGCAGAUGAGCAGUGAACAACU
Styela clava is the source of this 407-nucleotide non-coding RNA. The record is from RefSeq and is a predicted model, not a curated record. Lineage: Eukaryota; Metazoa; Chordata; Ascidiacea; Stolidobranchia; Styelidae.